RNAcentral lists this non-coding RNA (266 nucleotides) under Magnetofaba australis IT-1. The record is from RNAcentral. RNAcentral also lists the same sequence under 1 other name. Lineage: Bacteria; Pseudomonadati; Pseudomonadota; Magnetococcia; Magnetococcales; Magnetococcaceae.
UAGUGGCGCGGUUCGUUGGGCGCUCCGCCCGUCAUCGCGACGGGUGGGCUGAAAUGGGAAGUCGGUGCGUUGCGUCUUCCGUCCUGGUUCGCCGGGGCGACUGAAGACAAACAAUUCCGACGCUGCCCCCGCAACGGUGAUCGCGUUUGAGAACGGGCCAUCCCGCCACUGCGCUUCGAUAAGCGUGGGAAGGCGGUCCGUUCUGGUCUGAAUCCACAUUCAGACCGCGCGUCAGUCCGGAGACCGGCCCGACAGUUAACCGCGUG